AAAUCAGUUGCAGGAGUCUGACCUCACCUUCAACCACAAGAUCGCAGUUCAGGAAAGGAAUGCUCUGGCUAACUGGGUAAGUGUUUUCCUUUUCCUCAUCUUUGUUUGGGGCACAGUCGGGCACAACUGCACGUG
Molecule: long non-coding RNA, 135 nt
Filed under: Neogale vison (American mink)
Lineage: Eukaryota; Metazoa; Chordata; Mammalia; Carnivora; Mustelidae
Description: Neovison vison (American mink) lncRNA (ENSNVIG00000006234.1)
Source: RNAcentral